AGGAUGAACGCUGGCGGCGUGCCUAACACAUGCAAGUCGAGCGAACCCUUCGGGGUGAGCGGCGGACGGGUGAGUAACGCGUGGGUAACCUGCCCUGUACACACGGAUAACAUACCGAAAGGUAUGCUAAUACGAGAUAAUAUAUUUUAAUCACAUGGUUAAGAUAUCAAAGCUCCGGCGGUACAGGAUGGACCCGCGUCUGAUUAGCUAGUUGGUGAGGUAAUGGCUCACCAAGGCGACGAUCAGUAGCCGACCUGAGAGGGUGAUCGGCCACACUGGAACUGAGACACGGUCCAGACUCCUACGGGAGGCAGCAGUGGGGAAUAUUGCACAAUGGGCGAAAGCCUGAUGCAGCAACGCCGCGUGAGCGAUGAAGGCCUUCGGGUCGUAAAGCUCUGUCCUCAAGGAAGAUAAUGACGGUACUUGGAGGAGGAACGCCCGGACUAACGUACGUGCCAGCAGCCGC
Molecule: ribosomal RNA, 466 nt
Filed under: uncultured bacterium
Lineage: Bacteria
Description: SSU rRNA
Rfam family: Bacterial small subunit ribosomal RNA
Source: RNAcentral